AGCAUGUAAAAGUCGUUCUGUCUUGAAUUUUUCACGACCUUCCUCGAGGUGUCCAACGGGAAUGAAAGAAAAUCGGUCACAGAUCACGGACUAGAUGCGAAUAGCAGUGUGUCAUAUGAAUCUCAAUUUUUUGAACAAGAAAAUGAAUUUGGGGAUUUGAAUGAACAAAGUGAAGAUAUUGCUGAAAAUUAUGACAAGCACCAAGAGUUAACCACCAAAACACAGGACUCUGAAGAUAUCUUUACCAAGCAAUCUAUCUCUAUUAUUACAGAGGAACCCAAACAACCAUGUCAACAUAGUCAAAGUCAUUUGUCACCCACUGGCCACUAUACUGGGCUAUUGUUACAGUUUGACUUUGCAUCAAAUGUAUCACAUCAGCAAUCCUUUGUUGUUCAUGAUUAUAAUGCAAACAAAAGAACAAUUAUGCAUAAUUCAUUUGUAUUUGUACAUCGAUAUCCCCACCUAUUGCUUGAUGGCUAUGGUUGGAUAUUGUGCUGCUCAUGUGAUGCAAAUAGAAAGCAAUUUGUUGAUGCCCUACCUAAUAAUAUACAAUUAGAUCCUCAAAAAGAAUCCACAUCCAUGAUGCAGUCUGUUUUCAGUGAUCAUUCCUACCAUGAGAUGCAACCUGAAGAAGACUUGUUUAGUGCAGUGUGCAGGGAGGUUCAGUGGAUUGCUGUAAAACCAGUGAAUAGUCCAUGGGGGGUUUGUACUUUAGUGUAUUCAAAAGUAAUGCCGCCCCAGCCCGAGUUAAAAUGUUGCAGCUAUUCGUCAUAUCAUUGCAUUCAUGUGACAACCCUUGCAAAAGCCAUGCAAAUCGUUGACGAGGAUGAAAUGGAUUCUCCAUUGGCACUUUUUUAAGUUUUCCUUUGGAAUUACACCAGAUGCGAGACUAUUUUGAAUUGGCUACACUUAGCAAAGAAAAGGUUUCUUUAUUUGAAACAGGCAAUGAGAAUGAUGCAAGCGAUUUUACUGAUCUUCCUGAAAAAAAUGGUCAUAAAAUUUUGGCGCCAUCUGAAAGUGGUAUUUGUUCUUGUGGUGCAGAGUGGGAUAAACGUUCUAUUCAAGAUGAAUGGUUGUACGUAGACUUGUGUUCAGUUGCGUACUUUUGUUCAAUCCAUGAUGUGAAGGUGUAUUGUAGACCUUGCUCCUCUUGUGCUACGAAAAAGCAUUAUGAUGGCAUUGAAAACAGGAUUGUAUGGUUUGGAUCAUAUGCAAUAUCUCAUGCCGAUCUAAAAGAUUACAUUCGGCUUUUCAUAACGUCGAGGUACUUUUUAAUGAAAAUUUGCCGAAGCAUUAGUAGCUACGUUUGUCCAUUAUUUAAUUUUCUCGCACUAUAUCUUUUGAAUGUUUUUUCUUUUUUAUUCUUGUUCAGUUUAUGUACAAAUAUUAUGUUGCAUAUGUACAAAGGCAAGUGUCUUCGGGUAAUUUGAAUUUCCCAAAGGAAAUAACUUGCGCCAAGUUUCGUCUCGCUAUCAUUGCCAUGAUACGGUUGCUUGAUAUUGAUUUUCACAAUGGGUUUUUUUGUGAAUUAUGUGGAAGAAUUCCCCAGAAGGUGGUGAUGGAUGGAACAACUCUUGGAAUACAGAAAACUUUCUUACCAAAUAAUUUAAGAGAGUCUGAUACUGGAUUGCUAGAUGGAAGAUAAGUAUUUUUGAAGUUUAUCUGUAAUAUAUAAUAUAUACAGGUCUGCUAAUUAGUAAAUACGAGUGUUCAUCUACGUA
This is a long non-coding RNA of Xenia sp. Carnegie-2017, 1721 nucleotides long. RefSeq lists it as uncharacterized. NCBI's taxonomy places the organism in Eukaryota, Metazoa, Cnidaria, Anthozoa, Malacalcyonacea, Xeniidae. The record is from RefSeq and is a predicted model, not a curated record. The transcript is spliced from 11 exons.